RNAcentral lists this ribosomal RNA (528 nucleotides) under uncultured bacterium. RNAcentral's name for it is "partial 16S ribosomal RNA". It matches the Rfam family "Bacterial small subunit ribosomal RNA", at positions 355 to 900 of the family's 1533-position model. The record is from RNAcentral.
UGGGGAAUAUUGGACAAUGGGGGCAACCCUGAUCCAGCAAUGCCGCGUGUGUGAAGAAGGUUUUCGGAUUGUAAAGCACUUUCGGCGGGGACGAUGAUGACGGUACCCGCAGAAGAAGCCCCGGCUAACUUCGUGCCAGCAGCCGCGGUAAUACGAAGGGGGCUAGCGUUGCUCGGAAUGACUGGGCGUAAAGGGCGUGUAGGCGGUUUGUACAGUCAGAUGUGAAAUCCCCGGGCUUAACCUGGGAGCUGCAUUUGAGACGUGCAGACUAGAGUGUGAGAGAGGGUUGUGGAAUUCCCAGUGUAGAGGUGAAAUUCGUAGAUAUUGGGAAGAACACCGGUGGCGAAGGCGGCAACCUGGCUCAUUACUGACGCUGAGGCGCGAAAGCGUGGGGAGCAAACAGGAUUAGAUACCCUGGUAGUCCACGCUGUAAACGAUGUGUGCUGGAUGUUGGGUAACUUAGUUAUUCAGUGUCGUAGCUAACGCGAUAAGCACACCGCCUGGGGAGUACGGCCGCAAGGUUGAAAC